GUAGGUGUUAGAAGUUUGAGUAGUUUGAAUUAAGGGGGUAUGUUGUAUAUAAUCCAAAACUACAUCGUAUUAGUUUCCUUAUAUUCUUGUGGCCUAUAAAGGCAAUACGUCUGUCAAUGAGAAUACAAUUCAGUUAUGAUAUUCUCUCUGUUUUUCCUAUCUGUCUCACUCUCACUCUUCGUUCCUACACUAUCAUCAGUCACCUCCAGCAGGUUAAGGAAGAAUUCUCUGAUCAUCAAAUUUUGACCCAACAAGGGCGACUAUAGCUGGUUUGGUGUGUGGGUACCCUAAAUUCGUCAUCGAAAGGGGGAAAAUUGCAGUGUGCCCUAGGGAUUGAGGUUUAGCUCCAAUUCCCUAACUGGACGAAGACGCAUCCAACCUGGAUCACUAUUGGUGGAGCGCCGUCUCAUGGUUUUUCGUGUUUUGGGGAAACUUGCGUGG
Molecule: long non-coding RNA, 441 nt
Filed under: Vigna radiata
Lineage: Eukaryota; Viridiplantae; Streptophyta; Magnoliopsida; Fabales; Fabaceae
Description: long non-coding RNA (VRAD_LNC009485)
Source: RNAcentral